AAUUUCCAUAACUUUGUCAUUUCUCAACGAAAUCAAGUGAUUCAAAAACGAGAGUUGUAGCCCUUGAAGAGACAAAGAGAAUGGUACCUUUCACAACACCUAGUUCGCCGUGGUUUGGCCGGAAACUGCCUCGAAAGCCUCGGAGGUCGCCGGAAACUGGGUAUUUUUCAAAUGAGUAUAACUUCUUCAAUACUCAACGAAAUUGAGUGAAACAAAAAGGAAAGUUGUAGUACUUGACGAGACGAAGAUAUUUAUACCUACCUCGACUCCUAACUCGCAGGGGAUUCGCCGGAAAAAGCCUCGAAAGCUCCGGCCAAACUUUGAACUUGUCGAUCUCCGUGUUCUUACGUCCAAAAACUUCCAACGAAGCACUCCGAGCUUCCUUGGGACUUCCUAAAGCUCACUAUGAGCUUGGUUUGGCCUAAAACACGACCAAUUCAAAGCUCAUGAACAGUACACAUUCACGGCAACUUUAGAAACUAGGGUUUUCGAAGUGAAACUUACUUGAAAUGGGUAUCAUCGUGAUCGUAUGGUCUUCAGGAGUACGAUGGCACUCUUAAAUCCGUCGUUGGUGGAAGUUUAGGGUGUUUUUGUGGUGGUCUUGGUGGUUGCCGUGUGUUCGAGAGGGUGAGAGAGAGAGAGAGAUCUGAAAUGGAAGAAGAAGAGAGAGAAGGGAAAGGUUACGGGUUUUAGGGAGUGUUUUGAGGUAUGAGGAUCCCACCUUAACCCAAACACAACAUUACAACCUAGUUUUUAGUCCCUAACACAAAUUAACCAUAGUUCAGGAACUUUAAAAAAAACAAAUGUCAUCUCUUUACACACCUUAAUCUCGUUUAAGGUCAUUUUUGAAAUUUCACGUCCUCGGAAUGAAAAAUCCCGGGACGAGCUGUGACAAUCUUCCCUCCUUAUAGAAUUUCGUCCCCGAAAUUCCAGCAACCAGCUAAAUUAACCAUACUCAUACAAUAGCCUCGGGUAAAUCUCUCUCAUCCGAUUCUCUUUCUCCCACGUAAUUUCUUCCACCGAAUAAUUUUCUUCACAAAAAACUUUUACCACUUACCCUGUUUUAAUUCUGAGGGCAUCACAAGCUUGUAAGCAACUUCACCAACUUUUCGAUAAUCACUUAAGUCCGAUUCACUUAGGAUUUAACUUACCUUCUUUCUCUACCUUGGUUAAUUCUUAAAUUUCUUCGUCAAGCAUUUAAGUUUCGAGUACGACCUUACCAAACAGGCCUAACUUGAAAUUUUAACAAGUAUAACUUCUUCUCGAUCUUCCCAUUCUUAAUUUUUCUUCCGUUGGUUUUCAAUUCACAAGAUGAUACUCUUGGCAAACGUGCCAGACAUUAAUCAUACUGUAGUCUUCUCACCAAGUGCUUCAGCUACAACAAUUCACGAUCACCCUGAUCGUACCAUCAUGUUCAUUAAGCAAUACAAUUCACCUUUGUUGCCUCAUAUCAAAAUCCUUCCGAAUAAACAAAUAUUGGAGACUCUUUUGAUUUGUAAAAUCUUGCAUUCUUUUCAACAUAUAAUGUCUCCACAACUUCACAGCAAGGAUGAUAAUCGUGACUUCCAAGUCACCAGUAGGGUAAUUCAUCUCAUUAGGUUCCAUUUGUCGUGAAACAUAUUCAAUCACCCUAACAUUUGCAUCAAUACAUCUCCAAGAAUAUUUAAUGUACCAUCACCAUAAACCAAUAAUUACCGCUAUCUUCUGGGAUUACUAAAAUACGUGCAUGAGUGAGGAAAUACUCCAGUUGUUGAAUCCUUUGCUCACAAUUUCCUUCCCACUCAUACAUAACCUCCUUUCUCAACAGUCUUGUCAAUGACAAAGCAAUGACUAAAAAUUCUUUCACAACCAUCCAAAAUAGCCUGAUAAGUUAAGAAUUUCCGAAUCUCAAUUAUGACUUGUGGUUGUUCCAAUUUCUCAAUUCUGCUGCCUUUUAAGAAUUCAUUUGAAUACCUUAAGCAGAUAUAACCAACCUCAGAAUGCCACCUGAUUCAUCUAACUUUCGCAUUUGCUAAACUUAGCAUAUAAUCGACAUUCUUCCAAUCUUUGUUCCACCGACUUAAUACAUUUACAUGCUCUGCUCUGGCUCAUAAUAUGCCAGAAUAUCUUCAACGAAAAUGAUAUCAAUUAUCAAAGCAUUAUUGGAAUACUUCAUCCAUCAACUCAUAAAACAGAAUGAGUAUCCAUAUAGCAUCACCAAACUUCAUAAAGACUAUAACAAGUCCAGAAAACUAUCUUAUGAUCAAUGUCGCUCAAAAUCUUCAAUUGGUAAUAACCAGACCUCAAUCAAUCUUUUGAAAAUACACAAAUACCUUUGAGCUGGUCAAACAAACAUCAACGCACCAUGGAUAACGGUUCUCGAUCGUUACCAAUUCCAUUGUCUAUAAUCAAUGCACAAUCUCUAAGUCCAUUUUCUUUUUCACCAACAAACUGGGGCUCCUCAAAAGUGUUGUACUAGGUUGAAUAAAACUUUUAUCAACCAAUUCUCUCAACUGAAUUUCCAAUUCCCUUAACUCAUCCUGAACCAAUCUCCAAUAUAAAUUUAUACCUGGUAACAAAUCAAUAAUGAACCUCAUAUCUCUGCCUGAAGACAAUCCAGGUAUACUUCAGGGAAGACAUCAAGAAAAGUCUAACCCCUUUUUCAUUUUUCACACUUCUCCGAGCAACAUCCUUUAGUACCACAUGAACUAAGUAUUUUUUUUUGGGCAGCCUUUCAAAACAAUCUCUUUGCUUUCACAGCAUAAAUAACGGCCUGACUCAAUCCACUUUGCAUACUUACAAAAGAAAUCCCUGGUCAUCCAGAUCGAUGGAAAAUACUGGUUUCCCGUAACAUUCCGUCUUGUCACAAUUAUAACCAACCAAUCUAAUGGAACAAAAUUAACUGAUACAAUAUAUAUUCUAUUAUUAUUAAGCAUUCUAAAUAAGUACAAUACUAACAUAAAAUAAUCUACCGGGUUGCUUGCUUAACGAAUCCACGAAUGAGUUAUUAAUAUUACGGUCUGCAGCCCGCAAAUACUGAUAAAUCAUCGUUGUCUCGAUAAGUAGGCAACCACUCUCAAAGAUAUAACAUUACUAUUUUGUCACUCAAUGCAAAAUACAUACACUCGUCUCAACUACAUUUAUUUACUACUCUCUAGGUAAUAACAUACAUAAUAAGAAAUAUAUCAGCCGAAGUCAACUAGAAUGACCAAUACGGCUGAUUCAACUCUUAUCUCAAUAAUACGUCGGUCGGAUCCACUCCGCGUGGUCGGUACGGCCGAGCCUAUAACUCACCAAUUUCUCAUGCGUCAGCCAGAUCCACCUCUCGUGGCCUGUAUGGCUGAACAUAUAACUCAUCAAAUCUCUCUGUACCCACGGUCAAUCCGACCAAACUACUAAAUCCAUAAACCUGCUGAAUCGAUACUACGAUGUCAUAGAAAACUGUUGGGUACAACUGAUUUUAGGGACGAUUCACAAUUCUGUGUCCCCUCUGUUCACAUAAACACAUUCAUUAAUUUCACACUUCCCAAAGUGUUAAUUUUGUACCUGCUGCACAAGGUACAUUUCCUGUACUCGAGACACCUUGUCUCAAAAAUCUGGGAUUACCAGUAUAUCCAUCACUUCGCCUCUGACUAGUGGCGUUAAAACCUCAGCUGGAAGAAUUAACUCUAGCUUCACUUCUUUCGAAGCUCUGAAUCUUUCUAUAUCCUUGAUAUGACGAAUCAUUAACUUUAUCGUCUUCUUUUGAUUCCCAUUCAUUUCUUAUUCUUCUUUAUUCUCGUUGCUCAUGUUCUCAGAGUCCUCAAGACUCAACAGCAUCUCGUAUAUUCCUGGUAAGAAGUACAAUGGAUAGUGGUCACCCAAAAUACCACUUCCCUUUUUGUCACCCAGCCUAAAACAACAUAACACCUCCACCAAAUUAACAACAAUAUCUGGAUGGAACGAGGCAAGUCUGAAAACUUUCUAUAAUAUCCCUCGAUCAUCACCUUCCUUGUCUCAUAUUUGUAAACUCUUGUUUACUACCAUCGAUAAAUGCCGGGGGAUAAACUUUUCCUUAAACAAGUCCUUAAAUAAUUCUCAAUCAACUGUUUCCUCCGGUGACAACAAUUAACAAUCCUGUUUCCACCAGGAUACAAAUUCAUACCCAAAACCAGGUAGUCGUCUCGACCCCUUGUCAGAAGGAAAUUUCCUUUAACUUGCAUAAUCUGAAACAUCUUUUCCAAACAGUUAAACCGUCACUUCGUUCCCUCAGGUUCAUUAUUUCAUAAGGUGAUUCAAAUUCGACUCAUAAUCCGUCUUAAAAUGUCCCUUUUUAUAAUAGACUGAAUCACCAUAAUAAUAGUUUCCCCUAAACCGCUAUAUUAGGGAGACUAAAUUCCUCUAACUAAGUGGCUUGCUACGAGGCGGUGUAGUUCUGACAGAAUUCACUAUAAACUUCUCAAGAUGUCCAAGAUUGCAACCAUGCUCUGAUACCAACUGACACACCCCGUCCCGAAGGAGGGCAUGCUGGCCGUCACGUGAGAGUGACGUAACCAUUUGCACAGUACGGAAGCUUUAAGAUACAAUUUAUAAGUUGAUACACCCGAAGGUGAGUCCUAAUUUUGUCCAAUCUGUCAGAACACCGUCGAAUUCCUCGUAGUCACCACACCUUUGUGAUUCCUGAACCUGGAGGGGCGCAAAACCAAAAUUGAGUGGGUCAGUAAAACAAUUCUUUUCAAAUCCAAUUUUUUCUCAAAGCAUUGUAACCCCUCUCCGUAAAACCUGUAUACUUUCCCAGAAAUGUAAAAUAUAAAUAUACAUAUAUAUUCUCAAAACUUCAAGUCGUUAACUCAACAUUUUCAUAACAAUUAUGUCAUGCCACAUCAUCUCAACAUUUCUCAUAUUAAUUAUGCCAUGCCACAUCAUCUCAACAGUAAUAAGGUAUGAAUGCAUCAACAUAAUCAUAUCAGGUGCAAGAAAGUAAUCAACCGUAGGCCCUCUAAUAGCCCUGUACGGUUGAACCUAGAGCUCAAAAUCUAUCACUCUCACUCUCUGCCGGAGUCACUCCGCGUGACCUGUACGGCCUUCUGCACAUAAGUUACGCUUUAGUGCUUUUCAUAAUCAUCUGUGCACAUAAUCUAAGGUCACCCACCAGUCGGAAUCUCACUAACACUCUCGCGACUGGCCUGUCGUACCCACUCCGCGUGGACUGUACGACUAGCAUCUACUUGGAUCCAAGACGAGCGUGCGAUGCGGUGAAUACUAUAAGCACUAAACUAUGGUGCAUGAUUUGAGCUCAAUAUACAUCAACAUCAUCAUAACAGAAAUAAAUACUCACAUGUGCGUCCACCGCACCAUUUCAUACAUAUGCAUCAUAAAUCAAUUCUUACCUGUGCGUCCACCGCACCAAUUCAUACAUAUGCAUUAUAAAUCAAUUCUUACCUGUGCGUCCACCGCACCAAUUCAUACAUAUGCAUCAUAUAUUAAUUCAUGCAUGGCAUUUCAAUUCACAUUUCUAUAUACUUUUCAUAUCAAUUCUAUGCAUGGUAUUUCACUUCCCGUUUUUCCACAUAACUCAUAUGCAUUUCAUUUUAAACAUAUUUUCAUUUCAAUUCAAUUUCUGGGAAACGUCAAGUAUAUAUAUAUACGGAAAACAAAACUGCCCACUCACCUGGAGUUCGUCCAACAACUCCCUAGCACCACACAUCAAGGCGUCACGACGAUCGCCGCUAGAAUAGUAAUCAAAUCCAACCUCAGAAUUCAUAUCGAUAGAAUAUAUAACUUAUAUAAAAUACGUCACUACGUAGUUCGAUCCGAAAGAUCUGCCACUCAGAUUUUAAAUCCAUAACUUCCAGAGGUCCACAAUAUAUCUCUAGGAUAACCUCCUAAAAUUUCAUUACCAUCCAACGGUCGGAUCUCCGUAAAUUUUCCAAAACUAAGUGACGGUUAACAUUUUAUAUUAUGGACUUACAAUUCCAAUUCCGGAAGAUCCGUAACUCGGAUUCCCAAUCCGUAAGUUCCAAUAAUCCUCAAAUAUUACGUAUUACAACGUAUCAAAGUUUGGUAACGAUCCAACGGUCGGAUCGUCAAUUCACAUUUUUACCUAAAUGUGAAAACUAUAAAACGUUAUUCGAACACCUAACCAACAAUCCUUAAUAACUUUCUCAUACGGUGCUCAAUUUGGGUAUAUGAAUAUACCACGGUGAUCUACUCGACGUCACGGACGUCGACAUAUUUUUAAAAUAAUUUUAUUUUUAUUUUUUUUUACUGUAGCACCUUCUUCUUCCUUGGGUCGCCGGACUGGUUUUUCCGGCGGCCGUUUUCCGGGCAGUUUUUCAAAUUGCCAUAACUUUGUCAUUUCUCAACGAAAUCAAGUGAUUCAAAAACGAGAGUUGUAGCCCUUGAAGAUACAAAGAUAAUGGUACCUUGCACAACACCUAGUUCGCCGUGGUUUGGCCGGAAACUGCCUCGAAAGCCUCGGAGGUCGCCGGAAACUGGGUAUUUUUCAAAUGAGUAUAACUUCUUCAAUACUCAACGAAAUUGAGUGAAACAAAAAGGAAAGUUGUAGUACUUGACGAGACGAAGAUAUU
This 6548-nucleotide long non-coding RNA is filed under the name Malus domestica (apple). Its description in RNAcentral is "long non-coding RNA (MDOM_LNC018955)". The record is from RNAcentral. Lineage: Eukaryota; Viridiplantae; Streptophyta; Magnoliopsida; Rosales; Rosaceae.